GCCUGGGUGGCUCAGUCGGUUGAGCGUCUGACUUCGGCUCAGGUCAUGAUCUCCUGCUCUGUGAGUUCGAGCCCCACGUCGGGCU
RNAcentral lists this transfer RNA (85 nucleotides) under Felis catus (domestic cat). It matches the Rfam family "tRNA". Rfam says of the family: Transfer RNA (tRNA) molecules are approximately 80 nucleotides in length. Lineage: Eukaryota; Metazoa; Chordata; Mammalia; Carnivora; Felidae. The record is from Rfam by way of RNAcentral.